GGACCCGCACAAGCGGUGGAGCAUGUGGUUUAAUUCGAUGCAACGCGAAAAACCUUACCUACUCUUGACAUCCUGCGAAUCUCUUGGAAACGAGAGAGUGCCUUCGGGAACGCAGUGACAGGUGGUGCAUGGCUGUCGUCAGCUCGUGUCGUGAGAUGUUGGUUAAGUCCCGCAACGAGCGCAACCCACGUCUUUAGUUGCCAGCAUUUAGUUGGGCACUCUAGAGAGACUGCCGGUGAUAAACCGGAGGAAGGUGUGGAUGACGUCAAGUCAUCAUGCCCCUUACAUCCUGGGCUACACACGUACUACAAUGGUCGGUACAGAAAGCAGCCACUAUGCGAAUAGGAG
RNAcentral lists this ribosomal RNA (348 nucleotides) under uncultured bacterium. RNAcentral describes it as "bacterial SSU rRNA". It matches the Rfam family "Bacterial small subunit ribosomal RNA", at positions 917 to 1267 of the family's 1533-position model. The record is from RNAcentral.